Molecule: ribosomal RNA, 515 nt
Filed under: Nomamyrmex esenbecki
Lineage: Eukaryota; Metazoa; Arthropoda; Insecta; Hymenoptera; Formicidae
Description: eukaryotic LSU rRNA
Source: RNAcentral
AAACCGUUCAGGGGUAAACCUGAGAAACCCGAAAGAUUCGAACGGGGAGAUUCAUCGUCAGCGGCGCUGGCUUCGCGUCGGUGGGCGAUGUCCCGCGGUGCCGCCUCGUCGCGGCUCCCGUGCGGGCACGCUACCGUGCGCCGAUGUCCGGCGAACGUCGUCGUGCACUUCUCCCCUAGUAGGACGUCGCGACCCGCUGGGUGUCGGUCUACGGCCCGGGGCUGAGGUGACUGCCGCGUGGCACGUAAAACUGCGCGCGGCAAACUCCCGGUCGCCCGGCCGACUGCCCGGCGGUAUACGCAACGGUAUCAGGCCGCGCCUCGCGCGCGUCGAGCCCGUCGCAAGCGAGCGCCACGGUAGCCGGAGGUACGGACCUAGCGCCGUCCCCGGUCCUGGCCCGCUGCUGGCUGCCUCGUACGGUGUAACCUUCGACUGGCCUAGAGUCCCGCGCCCCCGUAACACGGGGCGCGGACGGAUACCGGUCGGCGACGCUACUGCUUUGGGUACUCUCAGGA